Molecule: unclassified non-coding RNA, 203 nt
Filed under: uncultured Micropsalliota
Lineage: Eukaryota; Fungi; Basidiomycota; Agaricomycetes; Agaricales; Agaricaceae
Description: sequence contains ITS2
Source: RNAcentral
UAUUCUCAACUCCACCGGCUUUUGUGGCUGGCUUGGAGCUUGGAUGUGGAGGUUUUGCUGGCCCUGGUGUCAGCUCCUCUGAAAUACAUUAGCGGAACCGUUUGCGAUCCGUCACAGGUGUGAUAAUUAUCUACGCCAGUGGGUCGCUCUCUGUGAGUUCAGCUCAUAAUCGUCCAGUGAAAUGGACAAACAUUAUAAUGAAC